RNAcentral lists this ribosomal RNA (435 nucleotides) under uncultured bacterium. RNAcentral's name for it is "bacterial SSU rRNA". It matches the Rfam family "Bacterial small subunit ribosomal RNA", at positions 29 to 507 of the family's 1533-position model. The record is from RNAcentral.
AGCGAACGCUGGCGGCAGGCUUAACACAUGCAAGUCGAACGGGCGUAGCAAUACGUCAGUGGCAGACGGGUGAGUAACGCGUGGGAACGUACCUUUUGGUUCGGAACAACUGAGGGAAACUUCAGCUAAUACCGGAUAAGCCCUUACGGGGAAAGAUUUAUCGCCGAAAGAUCGGCCCGCGUCUGAUUAGCUAGUUGGUGAGGUAAUGGCUCACCAAGGCGACGAUCAGUAGCUGGUCUGAGAGGAUGAUCAGCCACACUGGGACUGAGACACGGCCCAGACUCCUACGGGAGGCAGCAGUGGGGAAUAUUGGACAAUGGGCGAAAGCCUGAUCCAGCCAUGCCGCGUGAGUGAUGAAGGCCCUAGGGUUGUAAAGCUCUUUUGUGCGGGAAGAUAAUGACGGUACCGCAAGAAUAAGCCCCGGCUAACUUCGUG